Ficedula albicollis (Collared flycatcher) is the source of this 5634-nucleotide long non-coding RNA. NCBI's taxonomy places the organism in Eukaryota, Metazoa, Chordata, Aves, Passeriformes, Muscicapidae. The record is from Ensembl.
GGGGGGGGGGGGGGGGGGGGGGGGGGGGGGGGGGGGGGGGGGGGGGGGGGGGGGGGGGGGGGGGGCCUGCGCUGCGAGCGGUGCCGCUGGCUCUGCGCAAACCCUUCGCCCUAACCCCCCCACCGAGUGUUUUGUCUGUCCGCCCCGGGGAGGGGAGCGGCCCUCGCUCACUCACCGGCUCCGACGGGGCCUGGCGCGGGCGAGGGGCGCCGUCAGCCGCUGGCCCUGCCCGCCCCUCACACGCGGCCUCCCACGCUGGCCCUGUGUGCCCGCAGGAGCCCGAGCCCGCGGCCGCCGGGGCUUAAAUAAACGUGUGCAUGGGCGGCCGCAGAGCGGCGAUCCCAGGUGUGAAGUGCCCGCUCCGCCCGGGCUGCGGGGCGGGAGCAGCUCGGUGCUCACUUCACGCUGAUAACUACAUCGUGCCGAGGAACAAUGGAGUCAGCUGGGCUGCGGUUACACAACCGCCUUAAUCCAGCCGAAAUUCAGGUUUCCCUGGAAGGGACGGGCCGUCCCUCGCGUCAGGCCUGCCUGGUAAAGCAGGUCGGGACAGGGGCUGCCGAGACCCCCGCCCGCGCCCCGAGCCCCCGGCGCUGUCGGCGCACUGCCAAAUGCACCACGGAGAACGGGGAAACAAACCGCCCUGGGCAUGGGGCUCCCUCUUCACCGGGGGCACGGAUCUAGCCGGCUAAAGCAGAAGAGAGCAGAAAGAUCUCCUUGAAAGGGGGAGCUGUGCUGCAGAAGAGCUGGAAUGUCAACGCACAGCUCACCUGGAGACUGCGCCACAGCCAGGGCAGACCCCUUAUGCAGCUCUGUUACUCGGAUUUGGGCUCGGUCAGAAAGACAGCUCAGAAUGCCUUGUCCUCCCAGGAGCUGCGGGGACCCAGCACAGCCGGGGCACCUCGCUGCUGCUGCGGCCCCGAGCCCAGCCGUGCCCCAAGGCUGCCGUCCCUGCCUGCUGGUGGCCUGCUGGUGGCCCGGGGGUGGCCCCAAGCUCUCUGCUGUCCCACCACAAAGGCCUUUCCUCGAGCAAGGUUUCCAGAUUCAAGUCCGCUUUUCUCCCAAGGCCCGCGCCCGCUACUCGCUUGCGCUACCCGUGCGAAUGGCGAAGGAAAAUAAAAACUCAGCAAAACCUCUCACAAAUGCCAGUGCUUUUAAACAUGAAACGACUUUUAAAUUCUUUGGAUGUGCGGGUCUCACCCACAAAAGCAAUCUUUCUAGAAAAAGACAAAUAAAUUAAAGGAAAAACACACUAAUAAUGCCUUUCUGCUUUCUAAGUGACAAAAGUACUACCUUGAAACACUCAUUUUGGCAUGUACAAGUUGGGGGGAGGGAGGCCUGGGGGGUAACCUGGCAGUGUUUGUAACACGGGUGGAAGUGCAUGCCAAGACAAGGCUGAAGAUACACCCUGCAGUCAAGAGAAGCACUCUCCUUCAGUUCAUCUCAGCAUCAAGAAUGAAAAGAUUGUAACAUAAAGCUUUGGCCAUUUUUGAAUCUACUAUAUACAAUUUUUUUUUUUUAAACUACAUAGUCAUAAAUUAAAGCAGUGAUUAAAUAAGCGUAUACAAAAUGUAAUUAAAUUAAAAGUCACAGCACAUUAUAGAGAAAAAAUAGGAACCAUUUAUCACAGCAGAGAAUAUUUUUUUUUUACCCUGUGAAAAGAACAUCGACUAGCAAACACAAAGCAUCCUAGUUGAAACAAAAGUAAUCGAAGCCACAUUUCCCUUUCUUGCAUUCAUUGCAAACAGCGAUCUUUACCCACUUUGAAACAUUCCCAGGAACAAGAUCUUCCUUGAGUAUAACAGAGAAGUUCUGCCAAAAAAAAGGAGAAAAAGAAGAAACCCAAACCCAAACCAAACAAUAUAAAAGGAAUAUACAAACAAAACAACCCCUACAAAAUAAAUAAGAAUUAUAAAGCUUUUUUUUUAAGUAACCUUAACAAUUAUCAAACUAGUAAGUUCUGCCUUAUCACAUAGACUCUCUAUACAACAUAACCCUAAAGAUUUAUUACUAUGAGGUAUUUGGAGGAAUUGGUAAAAGCGAUGCACGGCCUGUCUGGGCUGAGGGACUCAAGCUGCUUUGGGGGAAAGAAGAGGGAACCUUUGGUUUGUCAGCAAGAAAGUGGAAAAAAACAUUUUCCUUUGGUAUCAAAGAAAGUAUCAUUGCAUGGUUGCACGGCAAAAAGCACCACGGUGAAGAAUUAUUCCUUUUUUUCAUUAGUGGCCUUUCUAACAGGCUGAGGUAUUCAAAGAGUAUAAGGUGAGAGAUAAAGAGGUCAACAGCGGUUUAACACUUUGGUUCAAGCAAGGCACUCGUCCUAUGAGUUUACAAAGUUUGCAACAUGUUUGCCAAGAGCUUUAUUAUUAUUAUUAUUAUUAUUAUCCUUAUCAUCGUCAGUAGUAGCAGUUGUAGCAAGAGAAGUAUUUGUAAGGUUAUUAGGUUAUUACCACUAAGAAUGAAGACAAGGUUACACACUGAGUGAAGGUGAGGAAGGGGGUCAGGGGAUGGGGAUAAGUAGGAGAAUGAGUUCCCUUUCCAGACCAAGGCCGUGCAUGAAAAAUCUUUGGUAUUCUUUGGUAUCAUCAAUGUGAUUAAAAUCACCAAUGGAAAUCGAGUGAGGUAGCGUCUUUGGUUCACACUAUAAAUAGUAGAUCUUUACACACUUUUUUUUUCUUUUUUUUUUCUUUUUUUUUUUUUGGGGGGGGGGGGGGGGGGGGGGGGGGGGGGGGGGGGGGGGGUUUUUUUUUUUUUUAACACGUGGAAGUAGCUAUUCCUUACCUUUUGCUUCUUUGUCUUUAGCAAAUAGUUACCAAAUGUAUUGUAAAGCUAACCACACCACAAUAAUAAACCAGGAGGCUAAGCAAAGUCUCAAAAUUAGCCCCUGGGCCUUUGAAUGCACCCAAACGCAGUGAGAUAGAAAAGGGUAAGUGCUUUCUCUUUGUUUGCUAAAUGCAUAGUUUUCAUCCCUAUGUACAAAGGAGGAGGAAGAGGAGGAGGAUAGGAGGAAGAGUAGUAGAAAGAAGGAACGCUUCUUGGGGUAAAAAUGUCUUGUUUACAACUCAGGUGAGGAGAGGUGUCCUAAGACUCUUUGGUAUAAGCUCAGCAGUGUUUCCCCUGGGGCAGUGCCCACCUCCACCGCAGCCUUUUCCUGCAAAGCCAGGAGAGGAGCGGUGCCAGGGCAGCCCUGGGGCUGCUCUCAGCCCAGCCCUGGGGCUGCUCUCAGCCCAGCCCAGCCCUGGGACUGCUCUCAGCUCAGCCCUGGGGCUGCUCUCAGGCCAGCCCAGCCCAGCCCUGGGGCUGCCUGGGGAUUUGCUCCUGCAGUGGGUGUGCAGGAGCACCUUCCCAAGCAGGAGAACUGUGGCUGGCUGGCUCUGGUGGGGUUUGCUUUACCUGAGUAAGGAGAGGAGGCUGUGGCCUGGAAAGCCACAGGGCUAACGGAGCUGUGGGGCAGUCUGAAGGAGGAUUAUUUUUUUUUGUUUGUUUUGCUCUUUUUUUCCUAGAAAUCGAAUGAUGCCAUUUACAAUGGGGAUGGAUGUGGACAGCUCACCUCUCGGCCAGCCUCCCCCUGUGGUCACUGCAGUCAUGUUUGGAUGCAGCCUGCUAGCUGGAUGCAUGUUCCUAAUGCCCUCUUGCCCUUGCAGUCACCUUUGACUGAAGCCCCAUCUCCUGAUGCUCCCAAACUGUUUCGGGUUCUGCUCCCUCUCCUAAUCCUUCCUGGCAGAGUUUUAGAUCCUCUUGUCGAAUUUGAAACCAAUUUUCAUUUUGUCAGGAACGAAAUGAACUGAAAGACUAACACGAACAGACAGAGACAGGUUUCCUGGCUAAUGUUAAAUGCAGCAUUAGAAGAAACUCCCCUUCAAGGAUGCCCUGGUGGGCAAUGGCUCCAGUCAGAGCAAGGGAGCACCAGGUAAGCUGUCCAUGCUUCAGUCAGCGUGGCUGGGCAGUCUGCUCAGAGGUAACACAGCUUUCCAGGUAGACUGAGCAGUUCCAGAGUUAUUUGCUUCAUGUUUUGAAGGAAAUUAAAGACAAGUGUGUUCUUUGCCUAUUCAGAGUACGAGGCGCAUAUUGCUUGUGGGAAGAGUGGUUUGUUCCUAAUGGCUUAGAGAAAACCAAAAGGUUUAUAUCUACUUAAACAGACAUGUAAAAAAACUCAAAACACUUAAAAUCUAUAGCUUGUGCAUCAGUUUUAGUGUGUGUGGACAUGUGUGUGCACAUGUAUACAUACAUACAUCCACCCCAUAAAAAUGUGUGUGCAUGUACAUAUACACAGUCCUAUUUGGGGCUUGCACGUGUGUGUAUCAGAGAUCCUGAAAUUGCAUAUUGGGUGCAAAUUUAAUGCUGGUAUGAAAGUUCUCUUUGGUUUCAGCAAGUAGUCUAUAAAGACAAUACAAUGGAAAUACUAAAAAUGCGGCAAUGUACUUUGAAUUUCCCUGCAUUUUUAAAUUCUCAAGUUUUAAAUGAAUAAGGCUUUAUUCUCUAAACUAUAGGUACGUUACAAAGCAGUGUUUUGCUGGAAAAAAAUAAACCGUUAGUUGUCACUGUCUGUUAUUAACCUUACACUAACGAGACUGCUUUCAUAAGGUAAUUUAUGUGUGAACUUAUCAACGUUUCCAUGUCAAUUAUGUCUCUGUGGGGAUGGGACACUUCAAAAGAAAGCUUGCUAAAAUUUAAGGUAAGCUAGACUCAAAAAAUGUCCAGAUUAGAUUUCUUUUUCAUAGGUAAUUGCUUUGUCAGCCUUAAAAUGGGUUUAACAUACUGAAAUACAGAGAAAUAUUCAGUGCCAAAAAUAUUGGGUUUAUUUCACUUUAUUUUAAUAAAGAGAUAUUUCACCUGUAUUCUAAGCACUGGGUGGAAAUAAACUGUAUACCCUGAACCUUGAGUAGACCCUGUCCUCUUGGGAAAUAACUGGAGCUACAAAAGUUGCUCUACUUUGGCGUCACUGGUAUUUUGAGUGGGCUUCAUCCCCCAAACCAGUACCUGCUACUGUUUAUAGUGUUUGGAUUCUAGUUUACCUUGAAUUUUCCUCUAUCUUUUUUUUUUUUCCCUUAAAAACAAAAAGGGUGGAAGUAAGAUUAUCUAUUUCUAGUCCUUGCAUUGGGCCUAUACCUGCAUAUUUGGUUAUUUUGGAAUUUAAUAUACCUAGCAUAAUUACUACAGUAAUUUGAAAUACCGGUUAGAAACCUAACAGACACGUGUAUGUUCUUUAAAGUCUAUUUUGUCCUUACAUUAAAAUUUAAUAUGCAGAUGUUGCACGCUUUUCUCUUUAAUUUUAUCAGAGUAGGAAUGGGAUGAUUUCUCUCCUAUGGGUCUGUUAGCAACAAAGCGCUUAAAGCUUUUCAGCUACAAAUUGAAACUAUUUCAUGCAUUAUCCUGACUAACAGAUGAGCAAGAAAGAAUGUGUGGGACAAGAGCUCAGCCUGCCGCACACGGAUACAAAGCCACAAAACAUCGGGCUGUAUCUCGGUGUCGUGGGGAUUUGCUCUUGACUUCCGAGGGAUCACAAUUCCUCCUUCCCAAAGCACUGCUGGAGCUCCUCCCAGAACAUUCACUGAUGUCCCACCACUGCUCUCAACAGGAAAGGACCGCCAGCCUCCCAAGCCGUUUCUGUCCCUCCGCCUGGUAAAGUCCACAGAUAAC